UACGGAGGGAGCUAGCGUUGUUCGGAAUUACUGGGCGUAAAGGGAGCGUAGGCGGACAUUUAAGUCAGGGGUGAAAUCCCAGAGCUCAACUCUGGAACUGCCUUUGAUACUGGGUGUCUUGAGUGUGAGAGAGGUAUGUGGAACUCCGAGUGUAGAGGUGAAAUUCGUAGAUAUUCGGAAGAACACCAGUGGCGAAGGCGACAUACUGGCUCAUUACUGACGCUGAGGCUCGAAAGCGUGGGGAGCAAACAGG
Molecule: ribosomal RNA, 253 nt
Filed under: uncultured Mycoplana sp.
Lineage: Bacteria; Pseudomonadati; Pseudomonadota; Alphaproteobacteria; Hyphomicrobiales; Rhizobiaceae
Description: partial 16S ribosomal RNA
Rfam family: Bacterial small subunit ribosomal RNA
Source: RNAcentral